Molecule: ribosomal RNA, 497 nt
Filed under: uncultured bacterium
Lineage: Bacteria
Description: partial 16S ribosomal RNA
Rfam family: Bacterial small subunit ribosomal RNA
Source: RNAcentral
GAUGAACGCUGGCGGCGUACCUAAUACAUGCAAGUCGAGCGAACAGACGAGGCGCUUGCUCCUCUGACGUUAGCGGCGGACGGGUGAGUAACACGUGGAUAACCUACCUAUAAGACUGGGAUAACUUCGGGAAACCGGAGCUAAUACCGGAUAAUAUAUUGAACCGCAUGGUUCAAUAGUGAAAGACGGUUUUGCUGUCACUUAUAGAUGGAUCCGCGCCGCAUUAGCUAGUUGGUAAGGUAACGGCUUACCAAGGCGACGAUGCGUAGCCGACCUGAGAGGGUGAUCGGCCACACUGGAACUGAGACACGGUCCAGACUCCUACGGGAGGCAGCAGUAGGGAAUCUUCCGCAAUGGGCGAAAGCCUGACGGAGCAACGCCGCGUGAGUGAUGAAGGUCUUCGGAUCGUAAAACUCUGUUAUUAGGGAAGAACAAAUGUGUAAGUAACUAUGCACGUCUUGACGGUACCUAAUCAGAAAGCCACGGCUAACUACGUG